Molecule: non-coding RNA, 80 nt
Organism: Diorhabda sublineata
Lineage: Eukaryota; Metazoa; Arthropoda; Insecta; Coleoptera; Chrysomelidae
Source: the annotation of a RefSeq genome assembly
GGCUCGUUAGCUCAGUUGGUUAGAGCACCACACUGAUUCUAUCGAAGUGGAGGUCGCAGGUUCAAAUCCUACACGAGCCA